Molecule: ribosomal RNA, 337 nt
Filed under: uncultured microorganism
Description: bacterial SSU rRNA
Rfam family: Bacterial small subunit ribosomal RNA
Source: RNAcentral
GAGUUUGAUCAUGGCUCAGAGCGAACGCUGGCGGCGUGCCUAGGCCAUGCAAGUCGUACGCGGUCCCGGUUUGUGCUUGCACAGACCGGGAUGCGGCGUGGCGAACGGGUGAGUAACGCGUGGGUAACCUACCCUCGGGGUGGGGGGAUAACCCGGGGAAACCCGGAACAAUCCCGCAUAACAUCCCGUCACAUAAGUGACGGGAUCAAAGAGGGCCUCUGCUUUGCAAGCUCUCGCCUGAGGAGGGGCCCGCGUCCUAUCAGGUUGUUGGUAGGGUAACGGCCUACCAAGCCUACGACGGGUAGCCGGUGUGAGAGCAUGGCCGGCCACACUGGGA